Molecule: ribosomal RNA, 442 nt
Filed under: uncultured bacterium
Lineage: Bacteria
Description: partial 16S ribosomal RNA
Rfam family: Bacterial small subunit ribosomal RNA
Source: RNAcentral
CCUACGGGAGGCAGCAGUGGGGGAUAUUGCACAAUGGGGGAAACCCUGAUGCAGCGACGCCGCGUGGACGAAGAAGUAUUUCGGUAUGUAAAGCCCUAUCAGCAGGGGAGAAGAAAUGACGGUACCUGAGUAAGAAGCACCGGCUAAAUACGUGCCAUCAGCCGCGGUAAUACGUAUGGUGCAAGCGUUAUCCGGAUUUACUGGGUGUAAAGGGAGCGCAGGCGGGACGGCAAGCCUGGUGUGAAAGCCCGGGGCCCAACCGCGGGACUGCAUUGGGAACUACCGGGCUGGAGUGCCGGAGAGGUAGGCGGAAUGCCUAGUGUAGCGGUGAAAUGCGUAGAUAUUAGGAGGAACACCAGUGGCGAAGGCGGCCUACUGGACGGUGACUGACGCUGAGGCUCGAAAGCGUGGGGAGCAAACAGGAUUAGAUACCCGUGUAGUC